Molecule: ribosomal RNA, 253 nt
Filed under: uncultured bacterium
Lineage: Bacteria
Description: partial 16S ribosomal RNA
Rfam family: Bacterial small subunit ribosomal RNA
Source: RNAcentral
UACGAAGGGUGCUAGCGUUGUUCGGAAUCACUGGGCGUAAAGCGCGCGUAGGCGGCUUUUCAAGUCAGGGGUGAAAUCCCACAGCUUAACUGUGGAACUGCCUUUGAAACUGUAAAGCUAGAGUGUCGGAGGGGAUAGCGGAAUUGCUAAUGUAGAGGUGAAAUUCGUAGAUAUUAGCAGGAACACCGGUGGCGAAGGCGGCUAUCUGGACGACAACUGACGCUGAGGCGCGAAAGCGUGGGGAUCAAACAGG